Molecule: long non-coding RNA, 212 nt
Filed under: Nicotiana benthamiana
Lineage: Eukaryota; Viridiplantae; Streptophyta; Magnoliopsida; Solanales; Solanaceae
Description: long non-coding RNA (NBEN_LNC000388)
Source: RNAcentral
UCUAUCAAGACUAUGUCAUCAGCAAAUAGCAUACACCAAGGCACAUCCCCUUAAAUAUGACGAGUUAGAGCAUUCAUCACCAAGGCAAACAAAAGAGAGCUAAGCGUCGAUCCUUGAUGGAGCCCAUAACCACUGGAAAAUGGUCUGAAUCGCCAUCCACCGUCCUAACCCUAGUCUUAGCUCCAUCGUACAUGUCCUUGAUUACUCUGAUG